GUGCCAGCCGCCGCGGUGAUACGUAGGUGGCAAGCGUUGUCCGGAUUUACUGGGCGUAAAGGGCGUGCAGGCGGUUCGUUAAGUUCGGGGUGAAAGCUCUCGGCUCAACUGGGAGAGGUCUCCGGAUACUGGCGGACUUGAGGAGGGUAGAGGAGAGUGGAAUUCCCGGUGUAGUGGUGAUAUGCGUAGAUAUCGGGAGGAACACCAGUGGCGAAGGCGGCUCUCUGGGCCCUACCUGACGCUGAGACGCGAAAGCGUGGGGAGCGAACCAGAUUAGAUACCCCCGUAGUCC
This 292-nucleotide ribosomal RNA is filed under the name uncultured bacterium. Its description in RNAcentral is "partial 16S ribosomal RNA". It matches the Rfam family "Bacterial small subunit ribosomal RNA", at positions 505 to 796 of the family's 1533-position model. The record is from RNAcentral.